RNAcentral lists this ribosomal RNA (497 nucleotides) under uncultured bacterium. RNAcentral's name for it is "partial 16S ribosomal RNA". It matches the Rfam family "Bacterial small subunit ribosomal RNA", at positions 28 to 507 of the family's 1533-position model. The record is from RNAcentral.
GAUGAACGCUGGCGGCGUGCCUAAUACAUGCAAGCCGAGCGAACGGACUAGAAGCUUGCUUCUCUGAUGUUAGCGGCGGACGGGUGAGUAACACGUGGAUAACCUACCUAUAAGACUGGGAUAACUUCGGGAAACCGUAGCUAAUACCGGAUAAUAUUUUGAACCGCAUGGUUCAAAAGUGAAAGACGGUCUUGCUGUCACUUAUAGAUGGAUCCGCGCUGCAUUAGCUAGUUGGUAAGGUAACGGCUUACCAAGGCAACGAUGCAUAGCCGACCUGAGAGGGUGAUCGGCCACACUGGAACUGAGACACGGUCCAGACUCCUACGGGAGGCAGCAGUAGGGAAUCUUCCGCAAUGGGCGAAAGCCUGACGGAGCAACGCCGCGUGAGUGAUGAAGGUCUUCGGAUCGUAAAACUCUGUUAUUAGGGAAGAACAUAUGUGUAAGUAACUGUGCACAUCUUGACGGUACCUAAUCAGAAAGCCACGGCUAACUACGUG